CGCGUGGGGAUAUGCCCAGAGGUGGGGAAUAACUGUGGGAAACUACAGCUAAUACCGCAUAAGCCCGGAGGUUUAGCGACUUUUGGGGAAAGAUUUAUCGCCUUUGGAUUAACCCGCGUCAGAUUAGCUAGUUGGUAGGGUAAUGGCCUACCAAGGCGACGAUCUGUAGCUGGUCUGAGAGGAUGAUCAGCCACACUGGGACUGGGACACGGCCCAGACUCCUACGGGAGGCAGCAGUGGGGAAUAUUGGACAAUGGGCGCAAGCCUGAUCCAGCCAUGCCGCGUGAGUGAUGACGGCCU
This 300-nucleotide ribosomal RNA is filed under the name uncultured Labrys sp. Its description in RNAcentral is "bacterial SSU rRNA". It matches the Rfam family "Bacterial small subunit ribosomal RNA", at positions 114 to 417 of the family's 1533-position model. Lineage: Bacteria; Pseudomonadati; Pseudomonadota; Alphaproteobacteria; Hyphomicrobiales; Xanthobacteraceae. The record is from RNAcentral.